RNAcentral lists this ribosomal RNA (497 nucleotides) under uncultured bacterium. RNAcentral's name for it is "partial 16S ribosomal RNA". It matches the Rfam family "Bacterial small subunit ribosomal RNA", at positions 28 to 507 of the family's 1533-position model. The record is from RNAcentral.
GAUGAACGCUGGCGGCGUGCCUAAUACAUGCAAGUCGAGCGAACAGAUGAGGAGCUUGCUCCUCUGACGUUAGCGGCGGACGGGUGAGUAACACGUGGAUAACCUACCUUUAGGACUGGGAUAACUUCGGGAACCCGGAGCUAAUACCGGACAAUAUAUUGAACCGCAGGGUUCAAUAGUGAAAACCGUUUUUGCUGUCCCUAAUAGAUGGAUCCGCGCCGCAUUAGCUAGUUGGUAAGGUAACGGCUUACCAAGGCGACGAUGCGUAGCCGACCUGAGAGGGUGAUCGGCCACACUGGAACUGAGACACGGUCCAGACUCCUACGGGAGGCAGCAGUAGGGAAUCUUCCGCAAUGGGCGAAAGCCUGACGGAGCAACGCCGCGUGAGUGAUGAAGGUCUUCGGAUCGUAAAACUCUGUUAUUAGGGAAGAACAAAUGUGUAAGUAACUAUGCACGUCUUGACGGUACCUAAUCAGAAAGCCACGGCUAACUACGUG